Molecule: ribosomal RNA, 253 nt
Filed under: uncultured bacterium
Lineage: Bacteria
Description: partial 16S ribosomal RNA
Rfam family: Bacterial small subunit ribosomal RNA
Source: RNAcentral
UACAGAGGGGGCAAGCGUUGUUCGGAAUUACUGGGCGUAAAGGGCGCGUAGGCGGCCUUCUACGUCGAACGUGAAAUCCCCGGGCUCAACCCGGGAACUGCGUCCGAUACUGGCAGGCUUGAAUCCGGGAGAGGGAUGCGGAAUUCCAGGUGUAGCGGUGAAAUGCGUAGAUAUCUGGAGGAACACCGGUGGCGAAGGCGGCAUCCUGGACCGGCAUUGACGCUGAGGCGCGAAAGCCAGGGGAGCAAACGGG